UGAUUGUAGUUUGUUUAAAUUUUGAUAUUGCAUAUCAUUUAAGGAGAAUUUUAUGGGUAAUAAAAAAUAGAAAGAAAAAGAAGAGGAUUAGUUUGUUUUAUUGUUUCAAAAUAAAAAAUAUUAAUUUUAGUGUUGAUAAGUCGCUUUUUCUGAUAUCUGUAUUUAUGUUUAAUAUUAGAAAUUUAUAUUUUAUAUAAGUAUUUAGGAUUAAAUAGAAUUUGAAGUUUUUUUAUUAUUAGUUUUAUAACUGUUGUUUUUGUUUAGAGUAGGUAAAUUUUUUUUUUAAUAGAUUUUUAUUAAAUUUAUAAUUUUGAGAUUAGUAGUUUUUGUUAAGUAGUUGAUUUGUUGAAUAUGAAUUUUGAAAUUGAAAUUCGAUCAAAUGUUUUUUAAAAACUUAGACUUUUGAAUAAAGUUGGCUUCUGCCCGGUGAAUUUUUAACGGCAGUCUUAGCGUGAGGACAUUAAGGUAGCAAAAUGAUUUGUGCUUUUAUUGGGUUCCAGUAUGAAUGGAGUUAUUGGUUGAUUUUUUAUUUUUUUUUUUUAUGAAUUUAGGUAAGUAUAAGAAUGUGCUUUUACAAUUAUACAAAGAUAAGUCUUUGGAAAUUCUUUUUUAAUGUUAUAGUGGUUAUAUAUUAUUAAAAAAUUUUCUAGGGUAGAAUAUUAUAUAGUUUAGAGAGCUACAGGUAGGUUUAGGAAUUACUCCAGAGUUAACAGAAAAUCAUACUUAAUCUAGUUCUUAUAGUAGAGUAAGUUUUACAUCGAUGUUGUAUUUAGAUAUAUUAAAGGGGAGAAGAUUUAAUUUUUAAGACUGUUCUUCUUUUAAUUAAUUUAACGUGAUAUUAGUUUAAUUCAUCGUGAGAUAGAAUUGUUUAUCUUGAUAAUUGUUAAUGUUUAAUUUUAUUAGUACGAAAGGAAUAUUUUAAAAGUUUAAAACUUUUUGAACAGGGGAUGUUCU
RNAcentral lists this ribosomal RNA (954 nucleotides) under Angiostrongylus mackerrasae. Its description in RNAcentral is "16S ribosomal RNA". Lineage: Eukaryota; Metazoa; Nematoda; Chromadorea; Rhabditida; Metastrongylidae. The record is from RNAcentral.